RNAcentral lists this ribosomal RNA (443 nucleotides) under uncultured bacterium. Its description in RNAcentral is "partial 16S ribosomal RNA". It matches the Rfam family "Bacterial small subunit ribosomal RNA", at positions 338 to 795 of the family's 1533-position model. The record is from RNAcentral.
CCUCCGGGAGGCAGCAGUGGGGAAUAUUGGGCAAUGGAGGAAACUCUGACCCAGCAACGCCGCGUGAAUGAUGAAGGUCUUCGGAUUGUAAAGUUCUUUUCUAAGGGAAGAGGAAAGUGACGGUACCUUAGGAAUAAGCCUCGGCUAACUCCGUGCCCGCAGCCGCGGUAAUACGUGGGAGGCAAACGUUAGCCGGAAUGACUGGGCGUAAAGGGUGCGUAGGUGGUUUGACAAGUUGGUAGCGUAACUCUGAGGCUUAACCUCGGAACUACUACCAAAACUGGUGGACUGGAGUGCAGGAGGGGCAAAUGGAAGUCCUAGUGUAGCGGUGGAAUGCGUAGAUAUUAGGAGGAACACCAGUGGCGAAGGCGAUUUGCUGGACUGUAACUGACACUGAGGCACGAAAGCGUGGGGAGCAAACAGGAUUAGAUACCCUAGUAGUC